GACGAACGCUGGCGGCGUGCUUAACACAUGCAAGUCGAACGGAAAGGCCCUGCUUUUGUGGGGUGCUCGAGUGGCGAACGGGUGAGUAACACGUGAGUAACCUGCCCUUGACUUUGGGAUAACUUCAGGAAACUGGGGCUAAUACCGGAUAGGAGCUCCUGCUGCAUGGUGGGGGUUGGAAAGUUUCGGCGGUUGGGGAUGGACUCGCGGCUUAUCAGCUUGUUGGUGGGGUAGUGGCUUACCAAGGCUUUGACGGGUAGCCGGCCUGAGAGGGUGACCGGCCACAUUGGGACUGAGAUACGGCCCAGACUCCUACGGGAGGCAGCAGUGGGGAAUAUUGCACAAUGGGCGGAAGCCUGAUGCAGCAACGCCGCGUGCGGGAUGACGGCCUUCGGGUUGUAAACCGCUUUCGCCUGUGACGAAGCGUGAGUGACGGUAAUGGGUAAAGAAGCACCGGCUAACUACGUGCCAGCAGCCGCGGUGAUACGUAGGGUGCGAGCGUUGUCCGGAUUUAUUGGGCGUAAAGGGCUCGUAGGUGGUUGAUCGCGUCGGAAGUGUAAUCUUGGGGCUUAACCCUGAGCGUGCUUUCGAUACGGGUUGACUUGAGGAAGGUAGGGGAGAAUGGAAUUCCUGGUGGAGCGGUGGAAUGCGCAGAUAUCAGGAGGAACACCAGUGGCGAAGGCGGUUCUCUGGGCCUUUCCUGACGCUGAGGAGCGAAAGCGUGGGGAGCGAACAGGCUUAGAUACCCUGGUAGUCCACGCUGUAAACGGUGGGUACUAGGUGUGGGGUCCAUUCCACGGGUUCCGUGCCGUAGCUAACGCUUUAAGUACCCCGCCUGGGGAGUACGGCCGCAAGGCUAAAACUCAAAGGAAUUGACGGGGCCCCGCACAAGCGGCGGAGCAUGCGGAUUAAUUCGAUGCAACGCGUAGAACAUUACCUGGGUUUGACAUGGAUCGGGAGUGCUCAGAGAUGGGUGUGCCUCUUUUGGGGUCGGUUCACAGGUGGUGCAUGGCUGUCGUCAGCUCGUGUCGUGAGAUGUUGGGUUAAGUCCCGCAACGAGCGCAACCCUUGUUCACUGUUGCCAGCACGUUAUGGUGGGGACUCAGUGGAGACCGCCGGGGUCAACUCGGAGGAAGGUGGGGAUGACGUCAAGUCAUCAUGCCCCUUAUGUCCAGGGCUUCACGCAUGCUACAAUGGCUGGUACAGAGAGUGGCGAGCCUGUGAGGGUGAGCGAAUCUCGGAAAGCCGGUCUCAGUUCGGAUUGGGGUCUGCAACUCGACCUCAUGAAGUCGGAGUCGCUAGUAAUCGCAGAUCAGCAACGCUGCGGUGAAUACGUUCCCGGG
RNAcentral lists this ribosomal RNA (1343 nucleotides) under uncultured bacterium. RNAcentral's name for it is "16S ribosomal RNA". It matches the Rfam family "Bacterial small subunit ribosomal RNA", at positions 28 to 1378 of the family's 1533-position model. The record is from RNAcentral.